CCCAGAGGGUAGUAGGUCAACGGGCCCUCGCACCUCCCAGCGGGCGCGGAAGGCUGCACCCGGCGCGGCCUGGGCCCACGCGGUCGCGCGGCUCCGAGCUCCACGCUCCCGGCCCAGAUUCUGAGAGAAACCGCCUGGAUUCCCGUGUGGAGCUUGCAGGCAGGUGAAGGACAAGGCCCUGCCCUCGAGAAGGUCACAGUCACACAGAGCUGGGCCCAGAGACUAUGCUCUUAGCAGACUCCUGCUGAAAUGGCUCAGAGGUCCUGGGAACAUCGUCUACAACCUCCUUGAAGACCGUGGUGAGAAAAAUACAUAUACGU
Molecule: non-coding RNA, 320 nt
Organism: Vicugna pacos (alpaca)
Lineage: Eukaryota; Metazoa; Chordata; Mammalia; Artiodactyla; Camelidae
Source: RefSeq, a predicted model, not a curated record